UUCUAAAUUGAUUGAUAAUAUUGUGAUUUAAACUCUUAUGCAAAGCCCUGGCCAUCGUCCAAACUUCCCUGUUCGGCCACUCCAUGCCUCCCACCCGAUGGGAGAAACAAAGGAAAAGUCGGGGAAGCCUCCCUCCAGAUUGAGACUCUGAGGAAGGCAAAAAUAGAGGAAAAGUCGAGGGAAAUCAUUGGAAAAUUCAAUGAAAACAAAAGAAAGACACAAAAAAAUUGAAAGAUGCAGAUACAAAGUGAACGAAACAAGACUAGUCGUAAUAUACAAAAGAUGGGACACUCUGCAGGAUCGAGAAGCUUUGCACAGAUCAAAGCAAGAAUGAUUAGAAGUGAUGUUGUCUUGAAAGGCUAUAAGUUUCCUCACAAACCUGUUGCACGAGGAAUUUUACUAAGUAAAGAUCCAUUCACCAUGGUAGGAAAGGAUGUACUUGGAUGUUAAUUUUGAGAAGUACAAGUUCAUAUGGCAUGUGUACCUUGAAAGCCUUUAACAGGACCAUGAGAUCGACUAAAAAGAAUUAUGAAUGCAGUCGGAUACUUGAUUGCCUAGUCUUCAACUUAGGUGGCAGUUGCUAAAGAUUAGUAGAAGAAAUCAUUUGCAAUUACCAAGCAUGGACAUUGAGCAUAAAUAAAUUUUGUUUGUUUCAAUAAGGAACUUCUUCUGUAUGGUUUUUUUUUGGUGAACCUUCAGUAUGGUUGUUAUGACUACGUUUGUUCAUGUAUGUUAUUUAGCAUGUAAACAAACCUCCUUUGUUUCAGUUAAUAAAUUCAGCUUUUGUUAUAUA
This is a non-coding RNA of Elaeis guineensis (African oil palm), 793 nucleotides long. The record is from RefSeq and is a predicted model, not a curated record. Lineage: Eukaryota; Viridiplantae; Streptophyta; Magnoliopsida; Arecales; Arecaceae.